Molecule: long non-coding RNA, 220 nt
Filed under: Panax ginseng (ginseng)
Lineage: Eukaryota; Viridiplantae; Streptophyta; Magnoliopsida; Apiales; Araliaceae
Description: long non-coding RNA (PGIN_LNC011797)
Source: RNAcentral
UCUCACAAAAUAACUGACUAAAUAAAAAAAAUGCAAAAUAUCAGCAAUUAAGCUGAGGUCUAGUUCGAGAAUCUCAACCUUCUUUUGACAGGUGUCCCAAAAUGACAGAUCCCGAAAUACGAGUAGUCAAUACAGAUACUCCUACGUCCUAACGCCUUCUUUUCAGAUACUCCAAAUUUAUGUGGAAAUUAGACAGAAGUAUUUAAAUUUUAUUUUUUUA